AGACCUAAACACACAAAAAUACGCCUAAAAAAAUCUGAAGGGGAUCGAACAAAAAAGAUCCCAGCGCCGUAUAACUCCAAAAGACCCCCUCCCUAGGUCGUCUUCUUCAAAGAAAGACCUGAAGUUGAAGCAAAAAACCAUGAGCUUCUUCUUCGCCUAAGGACUCAAACGCAGCAGACCCUCACCCAAGAACACCCACCAGCAGCCAAACACCAGCCACCUCUCAAAAAAAACACACUAUACACACAUCAGAUCCCGAAGCUACAAAAAAAUCCGCCGUUUUUUCUCUGAAAAAAGAUCAAAGACACACAAAAAGCAAAAAGACCCAAAAAUCAGACCCAAAAACUAACGCUACUAAGCAGCGCCGUUCUUCACACAAGGAGACCCAUCAGCUCUUCUUCUUCAACAAGAGGACACCAGAACCCUCACCCAAAGGACCCGUUGUUUCUUCUCCAUCCGUUUCUCUCGCACCAAACGUCCACCAGCUUCACGUCAACAGCCGGUUUUCACCACCGUUAAAACGCAGUCGAAGUUUCGGCGCUGAAAGUCCGUUCGAGUUAAAAGUUUUUCCGGUCAAGGUUCUGUUUGCGAUUCCAGUCCCGAGGCUGUUAUUUGAUUUCAGUUUUUCUUAUCUCAAUGGUUAUGGCUAUUGUACAAAGCUUGGCUUGAAGUUUUGUUAAUAUAUUGAAAGAGGUUUCCUUCAAAUUUCUUCGGUCCAGUUUGGUUUUGAGUUUAUUUCUUCCCUCUGUUUGAGUUCAUCGCUGCCGAUUAGUUGCUGUAAUCUCAUUGGAGAUGCUCGAUAAUAAUGUUUGAUCGAUGUCGUUUUGGUUCGAGUUUUCCGGUGCCUAGUCGAGUUUCCGUAUGCGGUUUAUUACAUUUUGAGCUCAAAGCAGUACUACAGUUGAUUUCCAUGCUAUACUGAGGGUACAACGAUCAGAUGUAGGCAGAAGAGGUUGGUUGUCAUGUUUGGCCAAAGCUGGAGUGAUUGCGCAGGCGACGCUGCUCUGCUUUUGCCCUUUCAGGUAAUCCAUUUCGAGGUUGGCUUGAAUGGAUUUGUUUUUGGAUCUUUUUCUGCAGUAAGAGUUUCCAUUGUUGCGGAUAUUCUGAUGCAAUUAUGUGCUGGAAUACUCUGUUUGAUAAUUCAACUAAUCACUCAAGAGAAUUAGAUAUUUGGAAAUCUAAAGGCCGAACGCCUCUGCAGAUUAAAUAGAUGCAUCUAUGGUUCGCGCCGUUAGACCCUCUGUCAGUGCUCAGUUAAAAUAUUAUGUUGGGUUGGGGCCGUACGACCUUGGCAUGUCUUGCGCAUGCUUGUAUUGUUUGCCUUGAAAUUUAUAAAUAAUGAUAUUACCUCCCUGGCCUGAGAUAAAUUGAUAACUGAUGAAAUAUUAAUUUGGAAAUCUCCUAUUAUCGAAUGAAUUGUUUACCUGCUUCA
Long non-coding RNA from Nicotiana attenuata, 1432 nucleotides. RefSeq lists it as uncharacterized. The record is from RefSeq and is a predicted model, not a curated record. The transcript is spliced from 2 exons. NCBI's taxonomy places the organism in Eukaryota, Viridiplantae, Streptophyta, Magnoliopsida, Solanales, Solanaceae.